RNAcentral lists this long non-coding RNA (1036 nucleotides) under Sus scrofa (pig). Its description in RNAcentral is "lncRNA (ENSSSCG00070000737.1)". Lineage: Eukaryota; Metazoa; Chordata; Mammalia; Artiodactyla; Suidae. The record is from RNAcentral.
GUUAUAUUGGGAUGAAAACAAAAGUGUGCCUCCAGUUCAGUUUGGAGUGUGAUCCCUAGGAACCGGAAUGAAUAAAAUAGGCCGGGAAGGCUUGCAUGCCUUACAUCCUUAAUGCAGCUGGUGUGCCGCGCUGCUCGAAGGCAGAGACUUGGCGUCAUGGUCCUUAGUGGACCGGCCUUUAUCUCAGCAUUAAGAUCCCUGAUGGCAAAUAACAGUGAUUGUGCCUCAUUGGAAAAUACUAUGGCUGCCAUUGUACUUCUUAAGAGAUUCCCCACCUCCUUCUCUUUCCCUGCAUUCAUUCCAACAUACUCUCUUGUAGAAUGUUCUCCACUCCUCUUCACUCAGAGGGAGGCAAAGAAUUGGUCUACUCUCCAAGGAAAACUUCAUAGUAUAGCCAGGGACUGUGCCUGGCCAGAGUCUGCUGUUGCUAAGAAAAUCAAUUCAAUAAAUUUAAUUCAUUAAAAAACGUCCAUGAUUCAAAACACUACUAAAGCAUCACAUUAUUAUUUACGUUGAAAAGUGGGACUGUAAACAGCCAAUGUUUAAUUUGAAGAAAUUAUUUGAGUUAUUGGACAUGAAUUCAAAUCACUUUUAUUAAAUAACUCCUUGUGCCCAUGACUAUGCUAUGUGCCAGGUUCCUGAUUUUAGUGGAAGCAUCACUGCUCAUGGGAAACUUACUCUAUAGCAAUGAAUAUGGUAACUAUCAUUUAGUAAGUGCCCCCUUUUGUGCUAUUUGCUACUUUGCAUACACCAAUACAUGAACUAUUCCCCGUCCCCAGUGUUCUGUGCAUUAGUUGCCUGAAGAUGACAAUCAGAGACUUGAAAAUGUUAAGAUACUUCUGGUAGUCAUGUCUGGGUAGAGCUGCAAUUCAAAUUUUUGUCUAAUAGCCAUAAAUCUAGUUCACAUUUGAUGAAGAUUUGAUGUUGCUUUACCCCUUGAUUUCUAGUUUCCCAUUUGUGAAAUAGACAGAACAAUGCCUACACUUGAGUCUCUUGUGGGGUGCAAUAAUAAAAAGAGAAGUCACUCCUUCUUCCA